RNAcentral lists this ribosomal RNA (1416 nucleotides) under Triticum aestivum (bread wheat). Its description in RNAcentral is "partial small subunit ribosomal RNA". The record is from RNAcentral. Lineage: Eukaryota; Viridiplantae; Streptophyta; Magnoliopsida; Poales; Poaceae.
AUGGAUUUAAAGAUGCUCACUUGGAACGUCAGGGGGCUGCACAACCCUGCAAAAAGAAGAAAUGUUGCGAAGCUGAUUGCUGAAUUGAAUUGUAACAUAAUUUGCCUGCAAGAGACGAAGCUGGAACAAUUAGACAGGGCAUUGGUGUCUGAUUUUGCUGGUGCUGGUUUCGCUGACAAUUUCAUAUUCAAACCAGCUUGUGGUUCCAGAGGAGGUGUUGUUAUAGCUUGCUCCGGUGAUUUCGCCAUUGCUCCAAUGUUGGCAAUCCCAGAUGAGUUCUCCUUCUCGGCGACAAUCACUGAUAGAUCGACCAACGCCUCCUGGUCGAUCACUGGAGUGUAUGGCCCGCAGCUGGCUGUUGAAAAACGCAGAUUCUUAUCAGAGCUAGCUGCACUAAAACCUCGUAUGCUGAAUGAAUGGCUAGUAUUGGGAGAUUUUAAUCUUAUUUGCAAGGCAGAGGAAAAGAGCAACUCCAACAUUAACUUGGGGCUGAUGGCACAAUUCAGAAACACUAUUGAUUUGAUGGAACUGAGAGAUAUGCCUCUGUCUGGUAAAAAGUUCACUUGGUCUAAUGAGCGAGCCGGCAGAACCUUGACCAAGAUCGAUCGGGUGCUUAUUUCCAAUGAUUGGGAACUUAGAUAUCCUCAGUAUCAACUAAACCCGGCAUCCUCGGUUGUCUCGGAUCAUUCUCCCUUGUUACUGAAAAAGAUGGAUGCCAAGGUUUAUAAAGGCUUCAGGUUCGAGGCAUAUUGGCUCAACAUGCAAGGAAUUGAUUCUGUGGUAACUCAAAGUUGGAACAAGGCCUUGAGAUCAUCUGAUCCAGUGAGAAGAUUCCACAUAAAGCUUUCCAGGACAGCUAAGGCUCUUAGGGAAUGGGACAAAGCUAUUAAAGUCUCUUCAAAUUUUGCUUUCAAUGUGGCCAACGAGGUCAUUUUUCAACUGGACCUAGCUAUGGAGGACCGAGAGCUAUCUGAAGCAGAAUGGGCUCUCCGAAGAUUUCUUAAAGCCAGAUUGCUGGGAAUUGCGGCGCUGGAAAGGAUUAGAUGGCGUCGAUGCUCCAGAAUCACUACAAUUAAAGCCAGUGACGCAAGCUCCAAAUUAUUUCACCUACGGGCGAAUGGAAGAAGAAGAAAAAAUCACAUUCCUGUUCUGAGAGGGCCACAAGGGGAUGUGUCUGAACAUAGGCUGAAAGAAGGCAUCCUUUUCAACCACUUCAAAAACCCGAUAGGCACACCAAUGAAUGAGAGAAAAGUUAUGAACUGGAAUUUGUUGCAGCACCCUUCAGCUGAUUUGCAACAUCUGGAAACACAAUUCAACGAAGAUGAAAUCAAAGCUGUCGUUUUUUAUCUGCAUGAUGAGAAGGCUUUGGGCCAGACGGCUUCAUUGGCAAAUUUUUCAAACGCUUCUGGGACUUAA